This 608-nucleotide ribosomal RNA is filed under the name Lepidoptera sp. NZAC 03013301. RNAcentral's name for it is "eukaryotic LSU rRNA". It matches the Rfam family "Eukaryotic large subunit ribosomal RNA", at positions 600 to 855 of the family's 3401-position model. The record is from RNAcentral. Lineage: Eukaryota; Metazoa; Arthropoda; Insecta; Lepidoptera.
CUUCGAUGUCACCGGCUUCGGUUGGGCGGCACGACGCGCGUCCGUCGACGUCCGCGGACGGCGUGCACUUCUCUCUUAGUAAUACAUCGUGACCCGUUCGAGGUCGGUCUAAGCGCCGUACGGGAGCCCAGUCGUCCCCUCGGGGGCGGUUGGACCGUUACGGUGGCCGACCGGCCCACGGACGGUAUGACAAUUGAACCGCGCACGCGUUUACGCGCGUCCGGCCCGACGCAAGGCAACGUCGUCGCCGAUGUCCUGCCCGAGUGCGGACGUCGGUGCGGCGCGCCUGUCGUCGCAGCCGUGUAGUCUCGGACUGUGCGUGUCUCUGUCUACGAUGAUUCAGUUUCGGGCACUCGCAGGACCCGUCUUGAAACACGGACCAAGGAGUCUAGCAUGUGUGCGAGUCAUUGAGAUUAAUAAACUGAAAGGCGCAACGAAAGUGAAGGCGUGCGCUUGCCGCGCGCUCAGGGAGGAUGGAGCGCCGAUCUAGGUCGGCCUCCCGCACUCCCGAGGCGUCUCGUUUCCAAUCUGUGAAUGCAGGCGCGCUCUGAGCACAGAUGCUGGGACCCGAAAGAUGGUGAACUAUGCCUGGUCAGGUCGAUAGUCAG